Zootermopsis nevadensis is the source of this 442-nucleotide non-coding RNA. Lineage: Eukaryota; Metazoa; Arthropoda; Insecta; Blattodea; Termopsidae. The record is from RefSeq and is a predicted model, not a curated record.
UAAGUAAUGGUGAAGUAUUUUGUCAGCAGCCCAGUAGUUUAACAUUCCUUUGCUGUGUUCUAGGUAUGCAUGGACAAUUGCCGAAUGUCGGUAUUGCCAGAAGCAUAUGGGUUGGAAAUUUACAGCCACGCAGAAGCUUAUGAAACCCCAGAAAUUUUGGGGGAUAUGCCGAAGAUCGAUCGUGACAAAACUUUUAACAGAAGAGGAUUUGAAACCAAUAAUCUGAGGCAGAGAUACUGUAUUUGCUGAAUAUGUUCAGUAAAAUACUGCUGAGGGGGUCCAUAUUGACUGCAAAAUUAAAUGUUGGUUCUGAGGACCCUUGUGUAAGACUGUGACUUGUAUAUAACUAUUCACACGACAUGUAAUAAAUAAAAUGUACAUGCUGUAACUGUUAAUGUAACUGUUUAAUUUAGGAAUUAAAAUGUAAUUCUUUUCAACAUCA